This 634-nucleotide long non-coding RNA is filed under the name Salmo salar (Atlantic salmon). RNAcentral describes it as "lncRNA (ENSSSAG00000098362.1)". The record is from RNAcentral. Lineage: Eukaryota; Metazoa; Chordata; Actinopteri; Salmoniformes; Salmonidae.
GGGAUUCCUUUAUGAGGUGCAACCAAAACAGCUGUUUGACAUAGCAACAGGGAUAUUCUGUCAAGGUGUCUCUCUAGCAUUUGUUCUUAAUACCGUUGUGGUUUUGAUCACUAAAAUGGCUGUGACUUUUGGACUCUCGUUGAGUGUUUCUUGGAUUUGCUGUCUGCUAAUUGGAGGGAUAACUUGUUUUACACUUAAAGGUAAUUCUAAUGGGCAUCAUGCCUACACUGGACCUGAACCAACUGGAUCCUAUGCCAAAGCAAGUGUGGUGCCUAGUCCAAAUGCUAAAGCUACUGGCCACAAUGCCACGUCAGCAGAAGCUACUGGCCACAAUGCCACGUCAGCAGAAGCUACUGGCCACAAUGCCACGUCAGCAGAAGCUACUGGCCACAAUGCCACGUCAGCAGAAGCUACUGGCCACAAUGCCACGUCAGCAGAAGCUACUGGCCACAAUGCCACGUCAGCAGAAGCUACUGGCCACAAUGCCACGUCAGCAGAAUCUACUGGCCACAAUGCCCCGUCAAGUGUGAAGAGAAGCGCCUCAGCAGAAGCGUCCGGCCCCGGCGCCUCAGCAGAAGCGUCCGGCCCCGGCGCCUCAGCAAUAGCAUCCGGCCCCGGCGCCUCAGCAAUAGCG